GAUCAUGGUUCAGGAUGAACGCUGGCGGCGUGCCUAACACAUGCAAGUCGAACGGAGCUGCUUUGAUGAAGUUUUCGGAUGGAUUUAAAACAGCUUAGUGGCGGACGGGUGAGUAACGCGUGGGUAACCUGCCUCACACUGGGGGAUAACAGUUAGAAAUAGCUGCUAAUACCGCAUAAGCGCACAGUUCCGCAUGGAACAGUGUGAGAAACUCCGGUGGUGUGAGAUGGACCCGCG
This 237-nucleotide ribosomal RNA is filed under the name uncultured bacterium. RNAcentral describes it as "partial 16S ribosomal RNA". It matches the Rfam family "Bacterial small subunit ribosomal RNA", at positions 15 to 235 of the family's 1533-position model. The record is from RNAcentral.